GAUGAACGCUAGCGGGAGGCCUAACACAUGCAAGCCGAGCGGUAGAGUUUCUUCGGAAACUUGAGAGCGGCGCACGGGUGCGUAACACGUGUGCAACCUACCUUUAUCUGGGGGAUAGCCUUUCGAAAGGAAGAUUAAUACCCCAUAAUAUAAUGAUUGGCAUCAAUUAUUAUUGAAAACUCCGGUGGAUAGAGAUGGGCACGCGCAAGAUUAGAUAGUUGGUGAGGUAACGGCUCACCAAGUCAAUGAUCUUUAGGGGUCCUGAGAGGGAGAUCCCCCACACUGGUACUGAGACACGGACCAGACUCCUACGGGAGGAAGCAGUGAGGAAUAUUGGACAAGGGGUGAGGGCCUGAUCCAGCCAUCCCGCGUGAAGGAUGACGGUCCUAUGGAUUGUAAACUUCUUUUGUACAGGGAUAAACCUACCCUCGGGAGGGUAGCUGAAGGUACUGUACGAAUAAGCACCGGCUAACUCCGUG
Molecule: ribosomal RNA, 479 nt
Filed under: uncultured bacterium
Lineage: Bacteria
Description: partial 16S ribosomal RNA
Rfam family: Bacterial small subunit ribosomal RNA
Source: RNAcentral